Hemiscyllium ocellatum (epaulette shark) is the source of this 743-nucleotide long non-coding RNA. RefSeq lists it as uncharacterized. The transcript has 4 exons. The record is from RefSeq and is a predicted model, not a curated record. Lineage: Eukaryota; Metazoa; Chordata; Chondrichthyes; Orectolobiformes; Hemiscylliidae.
UGAAAAGCGAGUAUGGUUUUCCGAUACUUGAUUCUCAGGGAUAUUAUUUGCACAGGGCGACCAGAACUGUCCAGGAGACGCCUCGCCAACGUCAAAUAACCUCAAAAUGACGUCUCAACACUCAUAUUCAAAGAUGCGAGCAAUGAAGGGAUCACAAUGCUCCAAUAAGACGAAUUGUGCGAACAUAUAUGGUUUGUGCACCUCAUCUUGAACCCUGGUCAACUGUUGUUUACUCGUCGCAAUUUGCUGGAAAGCAAAUAUUUGGAUUCUGACACAUGCAGGGAGAAGCAACUGAAAUCGUGCAUUGUGCUGCGUUGGAUUUGAGCAGAGACAAGAAAUCGUUACGACAAUAAUGUGAAAAGAAAAAUAUAUAUCCGCCAAGACUGAACGAGUACUAGCCUUUGAUGAGAUGAUUGCACAGAGAAAACGAGAAUGCAGAAAAAUGAAGAAUGAAUUUCAGAAUACACCCAUUUGUAGAAAAAAAAACACACGGUCUACAUAGAAACAAAAUUAUCGGGAACAAAUAUUUAGAUACAAAUGUUAUGAGAUUGGUGCUGAUAUUUUAUAAUCCAGUUCUUCCGAAAUGGCAUUACACAUCCACUGAAGUAGUUGGGACCCGACUCCAACCUCCUUGCACAGCGGUAGGAAAACUACCACCCAUCCACAAGAAAUUUUGCUUUCAUUUAUCUGUAAUGUCAACUCAGGCUUCUGCAUACCGUAUGAUUCUACUUGAUGUAACAAUG